Pezoporus flaviventris is the source of this 2285-nucleotide RNA transcript. It is a transcript of the gene named Fas ligand, with no coding region annotated. The record is from RefSeq and is a predicted model, not a curated record. The transcript is spliced from 5 exons. NCBI's taxonomy places the organism in Eukaryota, Metazoa, Chordata, Aves, Psittaciformes, Psittacidae.
GCUUGUCACCCAGGACACCGCGGUGGAAAAACAGGCGUCUCUUCCCGAGUGGGCUGCUGGAAAGGGUGUUUGGCUGGUGGAUGUGCGCUGUGCUGAUUACUCAGCCCCCAGUUAGCAGCGUGGCCCUUGCAUGUGAAUGCAUGUGCUUCCCGAGCAUGGUUUUGCGUGAGCAUCUGCCGCCGGGCUGGUGCUGCUGCCUCGCUGUGGGAGGAGCAGGCGGGUACCCUGAACUUGCAGCUGAGGGCGGAAACGCUUUGGGGUUGAUGCUUGAGGCUUUUGUAGAGUUGCAGCAUCUGAGCUGGGUGCUCUCUGCUGGAGUGAUGCAGGCGUAUAAAGGUAGAUCUGUGUCUUCCCCCAAGGCUCAGUCUGGGACAGCCCCAGCAGUUUUUGGCUGCCACAUGGAAGAUCACGCUAAGCACGUCCAGUCCAUCCCGCUCCCGGCCAUGCAGCAGAACUUGAACUACGUGUAUCCUCAGAUCUUUUGGGUGGAUGGCUGUCCCAGUGCAAAUACUUCCUGCCCUCCAGCACCCCCCGUCGCUCCUUUCCCACCACCAGUACCCGACCGGAGCAGAAAGCCAAGGAACAACAGGGAAAGGAGGAGCACUGGCUUUCUGGUGAUCUCCUUGCUGCUCCUGCUGGCCCUCACUGGAGUGGGGCUGAGCAUGUUUCAGAUAUUCCACCUGGAGAAGGAACUGGCUGAACUCAGAGAGUCUGCCAGCAGUGAGCACAUCCCUCCAGCUUUGGAAAAACUCAUAGGGCAGAAGGAGCAGUCAAUGAAAAAUGAAGCAAGGAAGGCAGCACACUUAACAGGAAACCCGGACCAGCGAGACCUCCCUCUGGAUUGGGAACCCGUCUCUGGCCAUGCCUUCACCAACGGCAUUCAGUACCGUGAUCAGGGCCUCAUCAUCAAUGAGACCGGUCUGUACUUUGUAUAUUCCAACGUGCUCUUCCGAGGCAGUGUCUGCACCAGCCAGGUGUUGACCCACAGCGUCUACAAGAAAAACCCAGCCUUGCUUGGUAGCCAUGUGCUGAUGGAGGACAAGGGCAUCAACUACUGUACAGGUCAGAAAACAUGGGCCCGGAAAAGCUACCUGGGGGCUUUAUUCAAGCUCAGGAAGAUGGACAGUUUGCAUGUCAAUGUCUCCAAAAUCUCUCUGAUUAAUUUUGAGGAAUCCAAGACAUUCUUUGGCUUAUUUAAGCUUUGAAUGAGGCUGUUGGAGCAUGGCCAGCAGCCCAUGACACACACUCAAAUAUACAUGAGUGGUGAGUGCUGCCUGAGUGGCAGUGGCAAAGCCAGGAUCUUGCCCCACGAAGUUCUCCAGGAAACCAUGUUUUGGUCUUCAGCAUGAGAAGCCUCAAGCAACUGGUAAAGGUUUGGAAGUAGACCUCUCAGAAGCACCAGGGCUGUACUACACCAACCUGAAGAGAAUCACGCAUUUUCCCCUCUGGAAAAAAAAAGCAACCCAACAACAAACUCAAAAUGUAUGUCCUGAAGACACCAUUGAAACUAGUUACUUGCUACCUGAGAAGAUGCUGGUGCCAGCAGCCCCACAUGGUGCCAUGGCCUUGGUGAGCUUGAGCAGCAGGCAGGCAGCGUGGAGGCCCCUAAAGCUUUGUCUGCAGGUGCCUGGGCUGUGCCAUGCCAUGGCACACCGCAGGUGGUGGUGUGAGAACAAGUAGUGCAGAGGUCUCUCUACCCAUCUCAAGCUAUGACUAAGCACCCUGCCUGGGCACUCAGCACUGUGACUGAUGUACAACAGGCACCUGCCUGCUAGCCGGCUACUUUGGUGCCAUAAGUACAUUUUGUGUUGUCGACUGUGCCCAUCUCAGAAAAUGUUCCCCAACCCCUUUAUUUAACUCGUGCCCACUGCCUUGCAAGGAAUGUGCCAGAAGCAGCAGGGCCAUGAGGGGGAUCCCAACCCUGGAGAGAAAAUAUGACUGUGCUGUGUUGAAGGGGCUGGUGGGGAGGCCACAUGCUCCACUGACAGAACCUAAACAACAUAGUGGUGGAGAGCGAUGGGGCCCAAGAUGAAAGCAGCAUCUCCAGCCCCCUUUCUGUCUUUUCAAAGCAUCAGGGUCCCCCAUGGGAAACUGGUUCUGUCACCCUCUGUAUGAUGCAGGUGGGGUGGCAUGCUGGCCACCAUAAACAGUAUGGCUAUGGCUGGCCCCCUUAUCAGGGGAUAUUCUCUCCUGAAUAAAACACAUCUGGUAAAUAAAGGUAUAUUUUUCUAGUAAAUGCUCCAUUCCCUGUACAUGAGCGAAGCCCUGACAUAGGAGAUGUGGGA